RNAcentral lists this ribosomal RNA (140 nucleotides) under uncultured bacterium. RNAcentral's name for it is "partial 16S rRNA". It matches the Rfam family "Bacterial small subunit ribosomal RNA", at positions 355 to 507 of the family's 1533-position model. The record is from RNAcentral.
UGGGGAAUAUUGGGCAAUGGAGGAAACUCUGACCCAGCGACGCCGCGUGCGGGAUGAAGGCCUUCGGGUUGUAAACCGCUUUCAGCAGGGAAGAAACUAACGNGACNGNNCCUGCAAAANAAGCNCCGGUUAACUAUGUG